RNAcentral lists this unclassified non-coding RNA (299 nucleotides) under Talaromyces sp. Its description in RNAcentral is "partial contains 5.8S ribosomal RNA, internal transcribed spacer 2, and large subunit ribosomal RNA". The stretch from base 1 to 71 matches the Rfam family "5.8S ribosomal RNA", at positions 84 to 154 of the family's 154-position model. Lineage: Eukaryota; Fungi; Ascomycota; Eurotiomycetes; Eurotiales; Trichocomaceae. The record is from RNAcentral.
GUGAGUCAUCGAAUCUUUGAACGCACAUUGCGCUCCCUGGCAUUCCGGGGAGCAUGCCUGUCCGAGCGUCAUUUCAGCCCUCAAGCGCGGCUUGUGUGUUGGGCGUGGUCCCCCGAUCGUUGGGGGACCUGCCCGAAAGGCAGCGGCGACGUUCCGCCUGGGUCCUCGAGCGUAUGGGGCUUUGUCACCGGCUCGGGAUGGACCCACGGGCGUUGGUCAUCCACCAUUUUGUUUCCACGGUUGACCUCGGAUCAGGUAGGAGUUACCCGCUGAACUUAAGCAUAUCAAUAAGCGGAGGA